AUCAUCAAAAUAAAUGAAUGAAAUGACUUUACAGAGAGUCGACAUGUGGUGAAAGUCGAUAAGUCAACGUGCUGAAAACCUCAAGGUUUUCAAAUAGCAGGGAAACUGCUUUACCAAGCAAAAAGAGACGAUGGAUUCAUCGUGAAUGAGGGUGGUACCGCGUGAGUGACGCCCCUCGU
Molecule: non-coding RNA, 179 nt
Filed under: Lactococcus garvieae
Lineage: Bacteria; Bacillati; Bacillota; Bacilli; Lactobacillales; Streptococcaceae
Source: RNAcentral